Molecule: long non-coding RNA, 856 nt
Organism: Quercus lobata
Lineage: Eukaryota; Viridiplantae; Streptophyta; Magnoliopsida; Fagales; Fagaceae
Exons: 4
Source: RefSeq, a predicted model, not a curated record
GAUACAGAAAUAGAGAGGCGAUGAAAGCGAGGGAGGCGACGAGCACACAAGGAACGAAGCAGAGAAACAGGCAGAACGGUGAACUUAGCAUCGAUUCUGUCAAGUUUAUGGUUAAAUCCAACCAAAAUCGCGAUCAAUACAACGUUCGAAAGCCUGAUUUACACAUAAAACCCAAAACUACCCACUCUCGAUAAACCUUUUCUUCUUCUUUGCCUCUUCCUCCGCGUUGAAGCCGUUUUCUCUGCCUCUCUCAAUUCUCUAAACCCCUAAACCAUAGCCCAUUGCCGCUCUCUCACUCCUUCAACAUCCCACCGCCGUCAUAUACCAGUCCUAUAAAGAGUUUGCGACACAGGGGAGAUUCGUAUGGCCGGCCAUCGCCAUCCCCUGCCAGAUUUAGACCACCGCAAUCGGCACCCGUCAAAGUUAAAUAUGAUCAAACGUCCCAGAGGUAUUAAGAUACGGAGAUAGAGAUCGGCGCUCCUCCGACGAAAGGUACAACAUGGGUAUUUUGCAAGAAGAGUUGCUGCAUCAAACUAAGAGGUGGCCUAUAAAUUGAUGGUUAUGCAUGAAGGAUGUUUGGAGGCGAAGUUUCAGUCUAUUGAAAGACCUAAGGAAAACCAAUCAGCAGAAAGCUGAUGUUCAUCAUGUCAGACAAGUGAUUAUAAGUAGAAAUCUUGCCUUGAAUCAUUUAUGCUCCUUAGAGAGGUUCUGAGGGUCCCGUGGUUUUAUGAAUUAGAAAACAAUCAACUUAAUAUAAGAAUACAUUAAAAUUCAAAAUUCGUCAAGGGCAUGUUGUACAGCCCCUCAUUUGUCCUACUUGGAGGAAUGCUAUCUAUAAAAUAUAAUAUCACUCAAU